ACUACCUCCCCCUUUCCUUCUCCCCCGUCUCCGGACUAUUUUCUUUCCCCAAAGCGCCUCGCCUCCUCUCCGAUCCCGCCACGAAGCAAAGGGCUCGCCAUGGAGACCAGCGCCAGCGGGGCGGAGCCCGCGAACGCCGGGAUCGAGGGGUCCGCCGACCCCUGCAGCUCCGCGGGCGGCGGCCAUCGACUCUCAGUGCACCAGAUCGUUGGCGGCGGCAAAGGCAACCACUACUCUUCUACCCCCAGUUAUCUCCUCCCGUUUUCUGCUGAGUUCGGGGUAAAUCGCUCUUACACUACAGCUGUGCGAUUGCAAACGCGAAUUGGAUGUUGUGAGGCGGAUGGGUGGCCAGAUUGUCACUGGGCUUUCCGAUGGUCUCUCUCGAUUGGAUCAUGUGUAUUUGCGGGAGUAAUGGCAGGGUUGAGUAAAGGUGGUUGACCUUUUGGCUUUCAUUUCGUAGGUUAAGUAGAAGAAGCGUGCGUGAGUGUGGCCAAGGCUGGGUGUAGUUCUGUAGACUGUAGUUCAGAUUGUGUACUGUGGUUUCAGAAAGCGCGUGCUAGGAUGCGAGUGUACACAGGUAAUUGAGAUCAUGCCAUUAAGUUUUGCUCUGAAUUCUGGUUGAUGCUUAUCAACUCAAUCACCAUUGAAAUACAUGUGAUUCAUAACUCAAAGCAAACAUGGUAUGUUGGCCACCUGUACAUACUGAACCAAUACCUUAGGUAUUAUUAUUAUUAGUAUUACUGCUAUUACUAUUAUUAUUUUAAAUUCUUUUCUGCAACGUGUUGUGCUAGUAUCAAUACUCAAAUGAGAGACCAAUCAUCAGGAGUACUAACCUGUCGUACUGCAAAGCGGUAGCUAAAUAAUUGCUACACUUAUCUCAGAUGACUGUUUCUUAUGUUUAUGAUCUGAAUUUCUGAUACACUUAAUUGAUGGUUUGUAAUCUGAAUUUCUGGUACACUUAAUUGACCAGCUUAACUUCAAGAGUACUGUCCUUUAUAUAUUUCUCUUGUGCACUGGUAAGGGUAAGGUUGAAUUAAUAUCCAGCGGUAUGAUUUUUCCCUUUUUAUGCCUCCACGUACAGUUGGCCUUAUGUAUCUCUUGCUCAUUGAUUUAAGAUGUUGUUCCUCUCUUUCAGCUGCUGAUAUCGUCUUAUGGAAGUGUAAACGUGCUACUGUUGGUGUUAUAUUUGGUGCUACUAUUGCAUGGUGGUUGUUCGAGAAGUCCGAACUAUCGUUCUUGACUAUCUGCUGUGAUGUACUGCUCAUUUUGAUAGUUGUACAGCUCAUAUGGGUCAAAAUAUCUGGGUUGCUAAAUAAGCAACCUAGGCAACUGCCUGAGUUAGUUCUGUCAGAGGAGAUGGUUAAUAAUGCUGCGGCUUCAUUCCGUGUUAAAGUGAACAACAUGCUAAUGAUUGCACAUGACAUUACUCUUGGCAAAGACUUCCGGCUCUUUUUCCAGGUUGUGUCAGUCCUGUGGUUGCUAUCUGUUAUUGGCAAUUUCUACUCUUCUGUAACUCUUGCUUAUAUAGGAACCAUUGCUUUGGUGACAGUACCUGUACUUUACCAUAGACACCAGGAGCACGUGGACAGGUAUGCUGGGAUGGUCCACCGGAAUAUCUCAAGGCAUUACAAGAUCGUCGAUGAAAAUGUGAUAAGCAGACUACCUAGAAGCUUCAUCAGAGAUAAAGAUGAUUGAUCUGCCUCGAAGUUUGAUGCUUGUCAUUUUUACGCUCGUUAAAUAGUUUGGGUUUGUUUGUUGUUGUAUUUUUGCAUCGUAGGUUGCAUCAAGUAGGAAUCUAGAUCAGUGGAAACCGAAGCUUGAUUUAGGUACCUUUUCAGUGUACUGUUGAUCAAUAAGAUCAAUGCCAAAAGGGCAUGCAGAAGAUCGCAGCACCUCGACCAAUAUCGUUUAACACCUCUGUAUAGACUGAUCUACGUGUUACCCCUGAUGUUAUUUUUUCCUUCUCUUUUGAGAUGGACCAUUGAGUUGGUUUUCGCAGCAAAAUGAGCUGCAACUGCAACCUCUUAAAAAUUUAACUGUUGUCAUGAGUACAGAAGCUAUGGAGUUGUCACGUACUCGGUCUGUAUCAAACUAUAAGAUGUUUUUACAGUUCCAUUCUAUUUUGAUAC
Molecule: ribosomal RNA, 2129 nt
Filed under: Triticum aestivum (bread wheat)
Lineage: Eukaryota; Viridiplantae; Streptophyta; Magnoliopsida; Poales; Poaceae
Description: partial small subunit ribosomal RNA
Source: RNAcentral